GCUGCAGAUGCGCAGACGUGGCAUCGGCGUCUUCCAGCAGUGGCCGGAGACACAAAGAGCCAUUUGUGUAAGAAGCCUCCCUCUAAAUAAAGGAUCAGCAAGAAUAAUGAGAACAGAUUUGGUGAGGCGGGAGGAGAGUACGCUAAAAUGGUGGUUCU
Molecule: long non-coding RNA, 158 nt
Organism: Dipodomys spectabilis (banner-tailed kangaroo rat)
Lineage: Eukaryota; Metazoa; Chordata; Mammalia; Rodentia; Heteromyidae
Exons: 3
Source: RefSeq, a predicted model, not a curated record